CCUACGGGAGGCAGCAGUAAGGAAUAUUGGUCAAUGGACGAAAGUCUGAACCAGCCAUGCCGCGUGAAGGAUGAAGGCCCUCUGGGUUGUAAACUUCUUUUAUCUGGGACGAAAAAAGGGCUUUCUAGCUCACUUGACGGUACCAGAGGAAUAAGCACCGGCUAACUCCGUGCCAGCAGCCGCGGUAAUACGGAGGGUGCAAGCGUUAUCCGGAUUCACUGGGUUUAAAGGGUGCGUAGGUGGGUCUGUAAGUCAGUGGUGAAAUCUCCGAGCUUAACUCGGAAACUGCCAUUGAUACUAUAGGUCUUGAAUCAUCUGGAGGUAAGCGGAAUAUGUCAUGUAGCGGUGAAAUGCUUAGAUAUGACAUAGAACACCAAUUGCGAAGGCAGCUUACUACGGGUGCAUUGACACUGAGGCACGAAAGCGUGGGGAUCAAACAGGAUUAGAUACCCUGGUAGUCCACGCCCUAAACGAUGGAUACUCGACAUCAGCGAUACACUGUUGGUGUCUGAGCGAAAAGCAUUAAGUAUCCCACCUGGAAGUACGACCGCAAGGUUGAAACUCAAAUGAAUUGACGGCUGAGAGNGNGAGAGACGACGAGGGAGGAG
RNAcentral lists this ribosomal RNA (608 nucleotides) under uncultured bacterium. RNAcentral describes it as "bacterial SSU rRNA". It matches the Rfam family "Bacterial small subunit ribosomal RNA", at positions 338 to 946 of the family's 1533-position model. The record is from RNAcentral.